UUUGUUGUGUGCAUAAGUGAAGCCAGUAUAACUAAGGAGAGUACAGCAGAAAAGCGAAGUUUAACAUUUAAAUAAUUUAUGAAUUAUUGCAAAUUUCUAUUUGUAAUAUUAUCAUCUUAUGACAGUUUCAUCGAAGUCCAUUGAGCAGCAAUGAAUAUAUAUUCAUUAUUCAGAACUACCUGUCAAACGAUAAAAUGUAUGGCUCCAAAAUUAUCAUCAAUGGAACCAUUCACAAAAAUUAUACAUCGUAAUAUGCACCAUAUAUGUGAUAAACAAUAUUCAAAUAAUUUGUCAAAUAUGUAUAUGAAUAAAAUUAGUUCAAUAUUAUUGCAACCAUCACUACCAAUGUAUAAUAUCAUAUGUGGUUUGAAAAUGAAGACUGUAUUAAGACGAAGGUGUAGACAUUGCUUAUUAAUGUGGAGAAAUGAUAGGGCAUACAUAAAAUGUAAGGUAAAACCAAGGCACAAUCAAGUGGAAAGGAAGAAAAAGGAAUAUAAAACAUGGAAAUUGACAUAUGCUUGCCAAGGUAAAGUAAGGGAAUGGUAGAGUGUUAUAUACAAAAGGUAACAUUUGAAUUGUACUUUAAAAUAAAAUCAUUUUACGAUAAAAA
Molecule: long non-coding RNA, 610 nt
Organism: Bombus terrestris (buff-tailed bumblebee)
Lineage: Eukaryota; Metazoa; Arthropoda; Insecta; Hymenoptera; Apidae
Exons: 2
Source: RefSeq, a predicted model, not a curated record